This 501-nucleotide ribosomal RNA is filed under the name uncultured bacterium. Its description in RNAcentral is "partial 16S ribosomal RNA". It matches the Rfam family "Bacterial small subunit ribosomal RNA", at positions 30 to 523 of the family's 1533-position model. The record is from RNAcentral.
AUUGAACGCUGGCGGCAGGCUUAACACAUGCAAGUCGAGCGGGGGAAGGUAGCUUGCUACCUGACCUAGCGGCGGACGGGUGAGUAAUGCUUAGGAAUCUGCCUAUUAGUGGGGGACAACAUUCCGAAAGGAAUGCUAAGACCGCAUACGCCCUACGGGGGAAAGCAGGGGAUCUUCGGACCUUGCGCUAAUAGAUGAGCCUAAGUCAGAUUAGCUAGUUGGUGGGGUAAGGGCCUACCAAGGCGACGAUCUGUAGCGGGUCUGAGAGGAUGAUCCGCCACACUGGGACUGAGACACGGCCCAGACUCCUACGGGAGGCAGCAGUGGGGAAUAUUGGACAAUGGGCGAAAGCCUGAUCCAGCCAUGCCGCGUGUGUGAAGAAGGCCUUUUGGUUGUAAAGCACUUUAAGCGAGGAGGAGGCUACCGAGAUUAAUACUCUUGGAUAGUGGACGUUACUCGCAGAAUAAGCACCGGCUAACUCUGUGCCAGCCGCCGCCGUAA